Molecule: long non-coding RNA, 341 nt
Filed under: Hordeum vulgare
Lineage: Eukaryota; Viridiplantae; Streptophyta; Magnoliopsida; Poales; Poaceae
Description: long non-coding RNA (HVUL_LNC017325)
Source: RNAcentral
AUCUUCGGUAAUGUCAGCAACAUCGGGGCGCUGAAGGCAGCAGGCCAUCUCAAGGGGAUGGAGGACGAGAAGAGGAUCGGCGAGAAGGGCGAGGGCAUGAGCGCCGUCGCCGACUCCGGCGAGUCGAGGGGGAGGGUAUGAUUUACAUGGGGUUGGUUGGAAAGAAAGAUUGCUGCCAUUGUUGUGGUGGGUUGUGCUUGUGAGAGGGUAUGAUUUGUUCUUCUUUUUCUCCUGUUUUUUCUUGUUCAUGUUUCAGUGACACUGUUAAUCCGGUGCUCUGCCCCCUUUGAUGCAUGAUGAUUAUGAUGAUGUUGACAUAGUGGUAGAGGGAGUGUGUGCUA